Long non-coding RNA from Carcharodon carcharias (great white shark), 232 nucleotides. RefSeq lists it as uncharacterized. The transcript is spliced from 3 exons. The record is from RefSeq and is a predicted model, not a curated record. Lineage: Eukaryota; Metazoa; Chordata; Chondrichthyes; Lamniformes; Lamnidae.
CUCUCCCUUGUUCAGAUCACCGGUCUGACCAGCUCGCUCAGCGAUGUGAUCCUUGCUCACCUGUUCAGCCAGGAGGAACUCUCAAACAACUCGGAGCUGAUCGGCAUCUACAGGCAGCACAUGACAGAAGGCAACAUCCUGAGCAACAUCGAGCUGUACUGGAACAGCUACAACAGCCGACGGGACCUGGAGAUCGACCGAGCUGGGGCGGGAACUCUGAAGUAAGGACAGA